RNAcentral lists this ribosomal RNA (500 nucleotides) under Liphistius erawan. RNAcentral's name for it is "partial large subunit ribosomal RNA". It matches the Rfam family "Bacterial large subunit ribosomal RNA", at positions 1792 to 2621 of the family's 2925-position model. Lineage: Eukaryota; Metazoa; Arthropoda; Arachnida; Araneae; Liphistiidae. The record is from RNAcentral.
CCAGGCGCCUGUUUAUCAAAAACAUGGUUUUUUGGUGAUUAUAAAAAAUUUGGUCUGCUCACUGCUAUUAGUAAAUAGCCGCAGUAUUUUGACUGUGCAAAGGUAGCAUAAUCAUUUGCCUUUUAAUUAAAGGCUGGCAUGAAUGAUUUAACGAGAUAAAAUCUGUCUUCAACGGAGUGUUUGAAUUUGAUUAAUUGGUAAAAAGGCCAUUAUGAGUAUGAGGGACGAUAAGACCCUAUUAAGCUUGAUUUUUGAAUUUUACUGGGGCGGUAAAUUAAGAUUAUGAUCUUAAUGAGGAAGGUUAACAAUGUAAGACCCAAUAUUAUUGAGUGACGGAUAAAGUUACUAUAGGGAUAACAGCUUAAUUUUUUUAAAAAGUUCUUAUUUUAAGAAAAGUUUGUGACCUCGAUGUUGAAUUAAGGAUUCUUUUUGGUGAAGGAGCUAAGGAAGAAAGUCUGUUCGACUUUUAAAUCUUUACGUGAUCUGAGUUCAGACCGGCC